Molecule: transfer RNA, 72 nt
Organism: Camelus ferus (Wild Bactrian camel)
Lineage: Eukaryota; Metazoa; Chordata; Mammalia; Artiodactyla; Camelidae
Rfam family: tRNA
About the family: Transfer RNA (tRNA) molecules are approximately 80 nucleotides in length. Their secondary structure includes four short double-helical elements and three loops (D, anti-codon, and T loops).
Source: Rfam
GAGGGUAUAGCUCAGUGAUAGGGUGCAUGCUCAGCAUGCAUGAGGUCCUGGGUUCAAUCCCCAGUAUUUCCA